UACGAAGGGGGCUAGCGUUGCUCGGAAUUACUGGGCGUAAAGGGAGCGUAGGCGGAUCGUUUAGUCAGAGGUGAAAGCCCAGGGCUCAACCUUGGAAUUGCCUUUGAUACUGGCUAUCUUGAGUACGGAAGAGGUAUGUGGAACUCCGAGUGUAGAGGUGAAAUUCGUAGAUAUUCGGAAGAACACCAGUGGCGAAGGCGACAUACUGGUCCGUUACUGACGCUGAGGCUCGAAAGCGUGGGGAGCAAACAGG
Molecule: ribosomal RNA, 253 nt
Filed under: uncultured bacterium
Lineage: Bacteria
Description: partial 16S ribosomal RNA
Rfam family: Bacterial small subunit ribosomal RNA
Source: RNAcentral